Molecule: small nuclear RNA, 105 nt
Organism: Jaculus jaculus (lesser Egyptian jerboa)
Lineage: Eukaryota; Metazoa; Chordata; Mammalia; Rodentia; Dipodidae
Source: RefSeq, a predicted model, not a curated record
GCUUGCUUUGGCAAUACAUAUACUAAAAUUAGAAUGGUACAGAGAAGAUUAGCAUGGCUCCUGCAUAAGGAUGACACACAAAUUUGUGAAACGUUCCAUAUUUUC